CCUUCUGUGGUGUAGUUGGUAGCGCAUUGGCUUUUUAACUACAAGUCCUAGGUUCAAGUCCCGGUCGGGGGA
Molecule: non-coding RNA, 72 nt
Organism: Halocaridina rubra (Hawaiian volcano shrimp)
Lineage: Eukaryota; Metazoa; Arthropoda; Malacostraca; Decapoda; Atyidae
Source: the annotation of a GenBank genome assembly